RNAcentral lists this ribosomal RNA (404 nucleotides) under Actinomycetes bacterium. RNAcentral's name for it is "Actinobacteria bacterium partial 16S ribosomal RNA". It matches the Rfam family "Bacterial small subunit ribosomal RNA", at positions 355 to 776 of the family's 1533-position model. The record is from RNAcentral. Lineage: Bacteria; Bacillati; Actinomycetota; Actinomycetes.
UGGGGAAUAUUGGACAAUGGGGGCAAGCCUGAUCCAGCCAUGCCGCGUGAGUGAUGAAGGCCCUAGGGUUGUAAAGCUCUUUCACCGGUGAAGAUAAUGACGGUAACCGGAGAAGAAGCCCCGGCUAACUUCGUGCCAGCAGCCGCGGUAAUACGAAGGGGGCUAGCGUUGUUCGGAUUUACUGGGCGUAAAGCGCACGUAGGCGGACUAUUAAGUCAGGGGUGAAAUCCCGGGGCUCAACCCCGGAACUGCCUUUGAUACUGGUAGUCUUGAGUUCGAGAGAGGUGAGUGGAAUUCCGAGUGUAGAGGUGAAAUUCGUAGAUAUUCGGAGGAACACCAGUGGCGAAGGCGGCUCACUGGCUCGAUACUGACGCUGAGGUGCGAAAGCGUGGGGAGCAAACAGG